ACCUUGAACCGCCGACCACAGCUGCGCCGGGAUUCCAACGUAUCACGUACGUAGCAGUGGCAGCGAGGCUCUUGGGAGCGCCGAGGAGGCCGUACUUAAUGGGGAGGCGCACCAAGAGGCGACGGCAACCGAGCACGAGAACCCGGAUGAUAACAGCAACAUUGGCACGUUCGCCGCACCCGGUUGCGCGAUGACGUCACGCAUAGCUUGUCCAGCCAAUGGGCGGAGGAAGCGGAGAAUUUCGAACUAGGAAGAUUCCGGAAGCGAGGCAGGAGCCAACGGUCUAAGCGCCGGAGUCCGUUGAGGUAGAAGAUGGGUGGAGAAAAAUGCUUGAAAAGGUCCUUUAAGGACAGUCUGGACAAUAUAAAAGAACGAAUGAAAGAGAAAAGAAAUCAAAAAUGGGCAAAGUUGGGUAAAACAAACCAGGUCUUGCCUAUAACAUGCAAAAUAGCAACCAACAGUUCGGUGCAGCUGAAAAGCUUGCAAGCAAACAAUCGCGCACUAGCUCUAGCUUUGCAAGAGGAAAAAGCCAAAAUGAAAGAAGCCCAAGAUAUCAUUCUGCAUUUAAAGAAAGAGUAUCAGUCUCUGAAGUUUCAGAUAUUUGUUUUACAAAGAAAACUUAGCUCACAGCAAGCGAAAGAACCUGUUGAGACCAGAUUGUUGAUCUUGAGCAAGAUUGUUUCAAAAGUUGCUAAAAACCUACUCGAUACAGCUGAUCUUCUUGGUCCAGCUCAGGAUUUGUGUUCCACUGAUCUUAACAAGAGGAUGUAUCCCUCAGUUCUUGAAGAUGACGACUCCAGUAUUUUAAGACAAGCUGGUUCUCUGGGACUUCCUACACGUGUUCUUGUUGCAGAUGCUAGCCUAGAAGGCGAAAUGCUUGGAAAUGAAAUAGAGAAUAAUACUGAUACAAACAAUGCAUCUUAUUCUAUGUCAGAUUCCUGGCAGACCUUUAAAAAUACCACUUCAGUUAAGAAAAUGGCAACAAACACAGAAGGACAAAGAUCUGAUUUUCAUCUGGACAACCUAGAGGCCAACCUGGAAAAUACUCUUUUAGAUGAAGAGGAUAGGCAAGUUGGUAAUACCUUACCAAAAACUGUAUCUACCAGGCAUCACUGUUCAAACAGGAAAAUUCAUGUGCAUAAUCUAGACCAUUCAGAAAGGGCUUAUUUGACCAGAGAAUUUUGUAAACAGGAUGAAACUAGACUUGAGGGAAGUCUAGAGAAAGGUAAUAUAGAAAAUAUAGAGCCAAAUCUUUCUCAACUGAAUGAAAAUAAGAUAAACAUGAAGCCAAUGUUGGAUCAGGCAGAUACAUUGACUGAAUUGAACUGCUCAGUUGCAGAACCUAAACUUAAACAAAUUCAGCUUAAAAGCAGAGAAGACUCUCAAACAAGAAGAGAGAAAGUACAAAAAGGAAAAUUGGAAGGAAGUAAAAAGACUUCCAGAACAAGAUCAAAAAGACAGAGAAGCCAGGCAGAACAAACUUCCAAAGCGAAACUGGAUUUAUCAGUUGGCUCCAAUAAAGCUUAUGAUUUUCAGUUUGAGGAGAAUGUCCAUAUCACACCUUUCCGACAAAACAAGAUGAAUGAUUGUGACCGUGACGUGGAUGAAAGAAAGGAUACAUCUGAAUCCAAAACACACAGCAGUGAAGCAAGUGAUUCAGAAGAGAAUUCUGAUGACAGCCUGUAUGUGCCUUACAGGAGUAAAUCAAAAUACAGGAAGAGCUCACAGUGCAAAAAUGAUGGAAGUCCAGUCCAUAUAAGACCACGAUCUAAAAGAUCUGUGGUGUACCAGCAACAGAAAACCAGUAAUGAAAAAGAGACUAAGAAUACUACAUCAAAUGAAAAAUCUAUCAGCACUGUUGAAAAUACUCCAGUGGAUAGUACCUCCAUGAUCAGGAAAAUCAACAUUCAGUCAAGAACUGUGAUGAAAUUAGAUGAAGUAAAAUCACAUUCUCUUCUAUGUACUAUGGAUACUCUACCAAAAGUAGAUAAGAAUUCUUCCUCUGGAAAUAUAUAUUGCAAUUUUGCUAAAGGGAAACCUGAGGCUUCUCAGACAUCUCGUCUUCAUCUCUGUGAUGUCACCAACAUCUCUUCAUCGUCUGGUACAAAAAGUAGAAUCUCUCAUCCAUUUUUAUGUAUUGAUGAAAAAAUAGGAAUUCCCAGCCACAAACGCAGAUGUACUAUUAAUGUGAAUUACAAGGAACCAAGUAUCAGCGGGAAGCUCAGAAGAGGAGAUCCGUUUACAGAUAUGUGUUUUCUGAACUCUCCAAUUUUCAAGCAGAAAAAAGAUUCUAAACACAGUUCUGUUAAAAAGGAAUCUCUGUCCAAAUACAAUGAGGCAUUUGUUGGAUGUCGUUGAGAAGCCCUUUUGCACCCCCUUGUGGAGUUCUGAGGCAAAGAACAUUUAGUUAACAAAUUUGCUAUGUAAUUUGACACUUGUCAAAAUUUCACAUUACCGUUAUGCCAUAAGAAUAAUGUCUUGCUCAGUCUCUGUCCUGUGUACCAGGGAAAUCUAACUGUAUAUUUGGGUAGGCAGUGAUAAUUAUAGACUAUUUUAAAUUUAGAUUCCAUGGGAGUUUCAAUAGGGCUCAGAUGAAUACAUCUAAAACACUUUAAGAUCAUGAAUUUAAUAGAGUAAGGAGUAACUGUUAUUGUGCCUGUUCAUUAUAAAAGCAGUCUUGCUACCCAGCAAUAGUUUCUAUUUAAACUCUUCGAUUCCUGAACUCCACUGUGAAGUCCAUUAUCUGAAGGCAUGUUGAGAAUCUCUGGUGUAAAAAGAUAAGCACUAUGUGAAUUAUUUGACUGAUUACUAGAUUUGUCAGUCCCUGCUUAUUGUAACCCCUCACUUGAUAGAGCUGAAUUAUAGUAAAUCUUGGGAUUAGAUUACAAUUUUAAGUGAGCAAGUUUGUACAGCUGUCUUGUUACUUAUACAAAGCUGUAGUCUACUAAUGUUGAAAUGUAUAAUAAAACUUUUAGAUUUUAUAAAGUCUUGUAGAGAACUUACAUUCUAACUGCAAUGGUUUCAGUCUAAGGGCAGGUCUACACUAUGGGGAAAAGUCAGAUUAAGCUACACAAUUUGAGUUACGUUAGUAGCUUAACUCAGGUAAUGCUAGCUUAGAGCUACUUACUGCAGGGUCGACGAGAGAAACUCUCCCAUAGACUCCACUUACUCUUCUCAUUCUGGUGGAGUACUAGAGUUGAUGGGAGAGUGAUCAGCUGUCGAUUUAAAUCGACCCCAGGUGGAUUGAUCACCACAACGUCAAUCCCAACGGUAGUGGAGACAAACCCUUAGGUUUGGUCUACACUAGUCUGUUAUUUCGGAAUUAGCCGAGUUAAUUAAAAAAAAAAAUGAAUCCAUCCACACGACCAAACUGGUUUUUUCGAUUUAAAGGGCUCUUUAAUCCGAUUUCUGUACUCCACCUCAGCAAAUCAAGAUUGCAAUCCCAGGUUAAAGGUAUUGUGGACGUAAUUUGACGUUAUUGGCUUCCGGGAGCUAUCCCAGAAUGCUCCCUUGUGACCAUUCUGGACAACACUCUCAACUCCGAUGCACUAGCCAGAUGGACAAGAAAAGCCCUGGGAACUUUUGAAUUUCAUUUCCUGUUUGGUCACCAUCACAGGUGACCAUGCAGAGUCCACCAUCACAGGAGAUCACAGAGUCCUGGAUUCGCAGACUAGCUCCAGCAUGGUCUGAACAGGAAGUACUGGAUCUCAUCGCAUGUUGGGGAGACGAGGCUGUUAUGACAGAAAUACGUUCCAAAAAAAGAAUGCAAAUAUGUACGCUAAAGUCUCUAGUGCUAUGACGGAAAGAGGCUACUCCAGGGACACAUAGCAGUGUCAUACAAAAAUCAAGGAGCUCAGGCAAGCGUACCAAAAAGCCAGGGAGGCGAAUGGGCGCUCUGGGUCACAGCCCCAUACAUUCUGCUUCUACCAUGAGCUGCAUGCAAUUAUGGGAGGUGACGCCACCACUACCCCACCACUGUCUGUGGACACCUUCAAGGAGGGAGUUGCAUGGAGUGAGGAGGAGGACCAUGCACAGGCGGCAAGUAGGGAAUCCGUUUUCUGCCCUAGCCAGGAACUAUUCUUAAGGCUGGAGCCAAUACCCUCCCCCCACUCCCAAGGCAGACUCCCAGACCAUGACCCUGAAAAAGUACUUCUGGUGCAAAUGUUUCAACAUAGCCCCUGUCUACUCCGUCCCAGAGGGUGGUCCAGAUUAGAAGGUGGAAAAAAUGAACUUGGGACGACAUGUUCGCCGAGCUCAUGCAGUCCUCCCGCACUGAUAGGGCCCAGCUGAAUGCGGGGAGGCAAACAACUGCAGAAUCCCAUAAAGCAUUACAGGAACACGAAGAGAGGAGGUACACACGUGCUGAGAGCAGGCAGGAUGCUAUGAUCAAGCUUGUGGUGGAGCAAACUGACAUGCUCUGCUGUAUGGUGGAUCUAAUGCGGGAAAGGCAGCAAGACCACAGACUGCCACUGCAGCCCCUGUAUAACCGUGCUCCCUCCUUCCCAAGUUCCAUAGCCUCCUCACCCAGACGCCCAAGAACACGAGAGGGGGGGAGGCUAUGGGGACCCACACACUCAACCCCAGAGGAUCACCCAAGCAGCAGAAAGCUGGCAUAUGCGAACUUUUGAUUUGGUUCCUGUACUUAUCCUUCCCUCCUCCUCCUCCACCCCCCUAACCCAAUACCCCGCCCUCCCCCAGUCUACCCUCUCAAUGUGUU
Malaclemys terrapin pileata is the source of this 4717-nucleotide RNA transcript. It is a transcript of the gene named shugoshin 1, with no coding region annotated. The record is from RefSeq and is a predicted model, not a curated record. NCBI's taxonomy places the organism in Eukaryota, Metazoa, Chordata, Testudines, Emydidae. The transcript is spliced from 11 exons.